UACGUAGGGUGCAAGCGUUAUUCGGAAUUACUGGGCGUAAAGCGCGCGUAGGCGGUUUUGUACGUCAGUUGUGAAAUCCCCGGGCUCGACCUGGGAACUGCAUCUGUGACUGGAACGCUGGAGUGCGGCAGAGGGGGAUGGAAUUCCGCGUGUAGCAGUGAAAUGCGUAGAGAUGUGGAGGAACACCGAUGGCGAAGGCAGCCCCCUGGGUCAAAACUGACGCUCAUGCACGAAAGCGUGGGGAGCAAACAGG
Molecule: ribosomal RNA, 253 nt
Filed under: uncultured bacterium
Lineage: Bacteria
Description: partial 16S ribosomal RNA
Rfam family: Bacterial small subunit ribosomal RNA
Source: RNAcentral